RNAcentral lists this ribosomal RNA (531 nucleotides) under uncultured bacterium. Its description in RNAcentral is "bacterial SSU rRNA". It matches the Rfam family "Bacterial small subunit ribosomal RNA", at positions 8 to 526 of the family's 1533-position model. The record is from RNAcentral.
AGAGUUUGAUCCUGGCUCAGAACGAACGCUGGCGGCAUGCCUAACACAUGCAAGUCGAACGAGACAAGGUGUGUAGCAAUACAGACUUUGUUUAGUGGCGCACGGGUGCGUAACACGUGAGCAAUCUGCCGAGAAGUGGGGGAUAGCUCGCCGAAAGGCGAAUUAAUACCGCAUGUGGCUAGGGGUGGCAUUGCCCCGAAGCUAAAGUAGCAAUACGCUUCUUGAUGAGCUCGCGGCCUAUCAGCUAGAUGGCGGGGUAACGGCCCACCAUGGCGAUGACGGGUAGCUGGUCUGAGAGGACGACCAGCCACACUGGAACUGAGACACGGUCCAGACUCCUACGGGAGGCAGCAGUGGGGAAUUUUGGGCAAUGGGCGCAAGCCUGACCCAGCAACGCCGCGUGAGGGAGGAAAUCCUUCGGGAUGUAAACCUCAUAAGUAAGGGAAGAGUACAGACGACUUAAUACAUUGUCUGUUCGACGGUACCUUACGUAAGCCACGGCUAACUACGUGCCAGCAGCCGCGGUAAUUC